CCGGAAGUCAGCGAGGAGCAAAACCAGGAGCCCGGCCCCGCCCGCACCGGGGUCCCCUCCUGUCGGGGGGACUCACCCGAAGAAGCCCCGGAGGAAGGUCACGUAGAUGAGGGGCGCGAAGAAGCUGAAGUAGAGGAAGGUGGUGGCGUCCACGCAGCUGGAGGGGAGAGGUGGAGGGUCAGGGGGCGGGGCCUCGACCUCAGGCGGGACAUCGCGCCCCUCGCUGCUCCGCCCCCAGCCCUGGGCGGGCCCGACGGCUCGCGACCACCCCGCGUUCCACGUACCAGAGCCCCUCGAUGAUGUCGGCACAGAGCAGCGCGCUCCCCAGGCCCUGCACCAGGUUGAGCAGCGCCAGGAUGCCCGCGUACACGUAGAAGCUCCGCCGCGCUGGAGGGGGUGGGUCUAUGAGGUCCUGCCCUUCCAGGGCCAGGCCCUGCCGCCCCUCCCUUCCAGCGCGUGGUCUGGGACGCCCUCUGGGGCUCCCCCGGAGGUCUCCCCCCCCACACCCCGGUCAGGGUUCUCCAGCUCCAGGCCACAGUGGCCCGAACAGACCUCCCCCACCCCCACCCCUCCCCCAGUCCCUCUCCCAGGGCCACGUGCCAGCCGCUCACAGGGCAGGGAGAUGCGCUCCUUCAGCGGGGUCUUGGGGAGGACGACCACCAGAGAGUAGACCUGAGAGGACAGAGCGGGGCUCAGAAGGAUGUCGGGGGCACCCUGCCCAGACCCGAAGCCGACCCCCAAGGCAUCCCUUCCCGGCUAACCCAGCCCACCCCCAGGGUUCCCAACCGGGGAGCCCCAACCUCCACCUCACCAGGAAGAAAAAGCAGGAGCUGACCAGCCAGAACUGGCGGCCCCCGUGCCCGUAGAUGUUGAAGUCCUCAGCGGACAGGUGGCCUGGAAGAAACAUGCUGGUCAGCGAGCGUGGGCCAGCCCACAGGAUGCUGUGCGGGGCCGCCCCCAGCCAGGGAGGGAGAGCGUGGGCCCAGGCCCGCGAGCCCCAGCAGCACACGCACCAAAGGCCAGGCCCAGGAUGACCACGCUCAGCUCGAUGGCCAGCAGGAAGAAGCGGGUAAUCUCCCACAGGAUCUGGACACAGAGUGGGCAGACGUCAGCCUGGUGGCCUGGCCAACCCCUGGCCCCCAGCAUCCGGCGCCCCCGCCCAGCCCGCCCUUCUCGGCCAGCCCAGACACACCUUAUCAGCCACCGUGGCGGCAUCCGACGUGCUGACCGUCAUGGACACCACCGCCCGGGCGAUGCCCACCAGUGCCACCACGAACACCUGGUGGGGCCAGGGGUGGGAGACUCUGGGUACGGCAGGGACACACAAACCCACCCCCACACCUGCGGGUGCCUUCUCUUCCUCGAGAACAGGAGGAAUUCCUACUAAACUGCAAAGCCCCCAAGUUGGGGCUCCACUGCUGUCUGGCCUCAGGGCUGCCCGUUGCCAUCACCACCACCCCGCGCCCCUGGGCCUCGGUUUCCCGGCUAGCGCUGACAUCCUGGAUUCCAAGGCCCAUGAAGCAAAACAGGGGCCAGAAGGGUGAGACAAGCUGACAAGGUGGAGCCAGAGUGCCUGGGUUCAAAUCCCAGCUCUGGGACCCCAGGCGAGUAACUGCACCUCUGAGCCCUCAGUUUCCUCUUCUAUAAAGUGGGAGUUAAAGCA
Long non-coding RNA from Choloepus didactylus (southern two-toed sloth), 1663 nucleotides. RefSeq lists it as uncharacterized. Lineage: Eukaryota; Metazoa; Chordata; Mammalia; Pilosa; Megalonychidae. The record is from RefSeq and is a predicted model, not a curated record. The transcript is spliced from 2 exons.